RNAcentral lists this ribosomal RNA (497 nucleotides) under uncultured bacterium. RNAcentral describes it as "partial 16S ribosomal RNA". It matches the Rfam family "Bacterial small subunit ribosomal RNA", at positions 28 to 507 of the family's 1533-position model. The record is from RNAcentral.
GAUGAACGCUGGCGGCGUGCCUAAUACAUGCAAGUCGAGCGAACAGACGAGGAGCUUGCUCCUCUGACGUUAGCGGCGGACGGGUGAGUAACACGUGGAUAACCUACCUAUAAGACUGGGAUAACUUCGGGAAACCGGAGCUAAUACCGGAUAAUAUAUUGAACCGCAUGGUUCAAUAGUGAAAGACGGUUUUGCUGUCACUUAUAGAUGGAUCCGCGCCGCAUUAGCUAGUUGGUAAGGUAACGGCUUACCAAGGCAACGAUGCGUAGCCGACCUGAGAGGGUGAUCGGCCACACUGGAACGGGGCCACGGUCCAGACUCCUACGGGAGGCAGCAGUAGGGAAUCUUCCGCAAUGGGCGAAAGCCUGACGGAGCAACGCCGCGUGAGUGAUGAAGGUCUUCGGAUCGUAAAACUCUGUUAUUAGGGAAGAACAAAUGUGUAAGUAACUAUGCACGUCUUGACGGUACCUAAUCAGAAAGCCACGGCUAACUACGUG